AAGGCUGAGUCAAGGCCAGCAGUUCUCUGGAAGCUGUUGGUUUCAAGCACGAGCCUACAGUGGUAUCUUUCUAUUGUCUGUCGGCCAUUUCAGAACUUUAGAAAUGUAACAGUAGGGCUGGGGAUUUAGCU
Molecule: small nucleolar RNA, 131 nt
Organism: Cavia porcellus (domestic guinea pig)
Lineage: Eukaryota; Metazoa; Chordata; Mammalia; Rodentia; Caviidae
Source: Ensembl